RNAcentral lists this long non-coding RNA (990 nucleotides) under Gallus gallus (chicken). RNAcentral describes it as "lncRNA (ENSGALG00010018949.1)". The record is from RNAcentral. Lineage: Eukaryota; Metazoa; Chordata; Aves; Galliformes; Phasianidae.
CUGAUCUCAUGUGCACUUCAGAGCAUCUUUCAAGAGUGCAAACAGUUUUUGAAACUAGAUUUCACUGCUCCCUGUGAGGAGGAAAGCUUAUGGCCAUGACCUCACAAAUUAUAAAUAGAUUUCAAUGGAAGCAGAGGGCUAAGCAUAGAGUUGCCAUCCAAGGUGUAAUUUAAACUUUUGCUGAUGCUGACAGAGGCUGCUUCCACUGGGACUUCUUCGGGUGGCACCAAUUUGUUCAUCCAUAUGGGAACAGCAGGGAAGGAGAGGAAUGCUUCACUGUAACUUAUACAAGGCAAAAUGGAAAGAUGUUUGAGUGCCAUCAUGGGGGUGAAUUUAUUAUAUAUAUAUACACUUAAAAUUUACCUCUUUGUGAAACUGAUGUCAGUGUCAGCUCUUUCAGAUAUGGAGGAAAUUUACACAAAGAAGAUGCUUCCUUCUAUCACAAGUUCACUCUCCAUUCUGGCAACACUGCUUUCACUUGGUGAAAGUAGAUCAGAAUUCACCAUGUUAAUAAAAAAUAUAUUAGAAUCUGAUCCACUAUCUGCACCGAAGAAGCCAACAGGAAUAGCUUGUGUGACAGCAGAUUCUUAAUUAGGCCUCUCAUUAAUUGCUGUAGUUUUGCUGGGGAGCACAAAAUCACAUCACAAAGUCCUCUAGAUAACAAAGCCUUGCAACUCUGUCUGAAGUAGGAAAGGUGAGGUUACAGGAGGACAUGAAGCCAAAGGAGGUCGUGGAAUGAGUCAUUCUCCGUCUCAGAUCUGUGAUAGCGGGGAGAACAGAAAACGUGUGUGAUAUCCGCCAGCUGGAUUCCAUCUGUCUUUUCUCUGCGGAGAUGGAGUUUCAAAGGCUACAUCCUAUCUGCUGUCACACCCUCUCCCGACAUGAGAAGCUAAGUGUAAAGUUUGGCCAAAGUGAUGGAAAAAACAAUAUCUCUUUUGUACAUCACAACUAUUUCCCUACCUACACAAAAGUGGCAUUCUUCUUGUUCUG